Molecule: ribosomal RNA, 465 nt
Filed under: uncultured bacterium
Lineage: Bacteria
Description: partial 16S ribosomal RNA
Rfam family: Bacterial small subunit ribosomal RNA
Source: RNAcentral
CUACGGGUGGCAGCAGUGGGGAAUAUUGGACAAUGGGGGCAACCCUGAUCCAGCCAUGCCGCGUGUGUGAAGAAGGCCUUUUGGUUGUAAAGCACUUUAAGCAGGGAGGAGAGGCUAAUGGUUAAUACCCAUUAGAUUAGACGUUACCUGCAGAAUAAGCACCGGCUAAGUCUGUGCCAGCAGCCGCGGUAAUACAGAGGGUGCGAGCGUUAAUCGGAAUUACUGGGCGUAAAGCGAGUGUAGGUGGCUCAUUAAGUCACAUGUGAAAUCCCCGGGCUUAACCUGGGAACUGCAUGUGAUACUGGUUGUGCUAGAAUAUGUGAGAGGGAAGUAGAAUUCCAGGUGUAGCGGUGAAAUGCGUAGAGAUCUGGAGGAAUACCGAUGGCGAAGGCAGCUUCCUGGCAUAAUAUUGACACUGAGAUUCGAAAGCGUGGGUAGCAAACAGGAUUAGAUACCCCUGUAGUC